GAUGAACGCUAGCUACAGGCUUAACACAUGCAAGUCGAGGGGCAGCGGGAUUGAAGCUUGCUUCAAUUGCCGGCGACCGGCGCACGGGUGAGUAACGCGUAUCCAACCUUCCGCUUACUCGGGGAUAGCCUUUCGAAAGAAAGAUUAAUACCCGAUGGUAUCUUAAGCACGCAUGAGAUUAAGAUUAAAGAUUUAUCGGUAAGCGAUGGGGAUGCGUUCCAUUAGGCAGUUGGCGGGGUAACGGCCCACCAAACCUACGGUGGAUAGGGGUUCUGAGAGGAAGGUCCCCCACAUUGGAACUGAGACACGGUCCAAACUCCUACGGGAGGCAGCAGUGAGGAAUAUUGGUCAAUGGGCGAGAGCCUGAACCAGCCAAGUAGCGUGAAGGAUGACGGCCCUACGGGUUGUAAACUUCUUUUGCGCGGGAAUAAAGGAACCUACGUGUAGGUUUUUGCAUGUACCGUAACGAAUAAGCAUCGGCUAACUCCGUGCCAGCAGCCGCGGUAA
This 507-nucleotide ribosomal RNA is filed under the name uncultured bacterium. RNAcentral describes it as "partial 16S ribosomal RNA". It matches the Rfam family "Bacterial small subunit ribosomal RNA", at positions 28 to 523 of the family's 1533-position model. The record is from RNAcentral.